This 1344-nucleotide long non-coding RNA is filed under the name Homo sapiens (human). RNAcentral's name for it is "non-protein coding lnc-HS1BP3-1:4". The record is from RNAcentral. Lineage: Eukaryota; Metazoa; Chordata; Mammalia; Primates; Hominidae.
CCAGGGCUCAGUGAGGAGCCGGAGUGUCCCGGCCUGCCUGGACUCCAGCCGGGACCUCCCACAUGAGGCUCAUUCAUCUAUGCCCAGGAUUCUCAAAGAACCCCGGCCCCAGCCUGCUCUCUGUCAUGUGCUGAGCCCCAAGCUUACCCAUGCCUCCUGCCGUGGGGACCAGAGAAUGAGAAGACCACCAGGGAGACCCGCCCUGGAGACCAUGGUGUGCUGCUGACUCACGAGAAUGACAUCACCAAGUGUGCCCUCUGUCCUGUCACUUGGAGCUCCUGGAAGCACAGAAUGUCCCUCAGCCUGGACACUGCCCCUGGCCUGGGGAGGUAGAUGCUCCCCACCUCCCCUCCUGCCCUAGUGCAGAGGAAAGAAGAUCAAAUCUGGAGUCAGCAGACAUAGGAGUCUAAUCCCUGGUUCUGAUAUAUCUAGGCAGUCAUUGCCUUAGCCACACUCAGCCUUAAUCUCCUGAUCUGCAAAAUGGGGAGAACCACACUAACUUUGCAGUUUGCGGUGAGAGUCAAGGAAACCCACGUGAGAAGUGUCUGGCACUGUGCCUCGCAUGUAGGCUUGAGCUGAGCUCCAGGGAGUGAGAGAAAGGGGACCUAACAGACUUGUGGGAGACGAGCGUGAAGACAAAGCAAUGACCCCAGAUAGGCCAGUCGCAAAUGCCAGGAAAGAUCCACGGACCCUGGAGUUUCACCUGGACCUUGAGAAACAGAAUUUGAAUAUUGUGGAGAUUAACAAAACAAAACACCACAGGAGCAAAGGUCCUGAGUGAAGCUGGCCCUUUGGGGCUGGUGUAUCUGGUCAGCUGGUAGGCAUGGAGGGCCCACCCCACGGGGAGAAGCCAGGCAGAGAAAGAAGGCUGGAGGCGGCCGGAAAAGACGGAAAAGACACAGGUGUCAGGCGACGUUUGAAUUGAUUUUCAGCACUAGGGAGCCAUCUCUGAUCAGGGAGUGGAGUGAGCAGAAAUGCCUUCUGGAGGAGGCCUUGAAACCACCUUUGCAAAAAUGGUAUCAGUGAGAAAAUUAUGACAGUGAAAGAGAUCUCAGCUAACCUACCCCCAAUCUUUCCUUUCCCUUCCUUAUUCCUGGGUAUUGGGCCGAGCUAACUUUGAAGACAUUUAGGCUGUAGUUUAAAUGGUAACAGGCCUUGUCCCAAAACGCAGCUGCUUUUGUAAAGCUAAUGAGAGGCCAUCAGGCCUGGGGGAGUAGAGGGCCCUGACUCCUGCUAAGGCGCAGACAUAAAAGACUGUCAGCCACGAUGCCAGAGGUCAGAAGACAGGCAACUUCCCUAAUUACUCCUGCAAAUAAUGCCAAUGUUGUGAACCUAAGGUCGGCC